RNAcentral lists this transfer RNA (83 nucleotides) under Chloroflexota bacterium. Its description in RNAcentral is "tRNA-Leu". It matches the Rfam family "tRNA". Rfam says of the family: Transfer RNA (tRNA) molecules are approximately 80 nucleotides in length. Their secondary structure includes four short double-helical elements and three loops (D, anti-codon, and T loops). The record is from RNAcentral. RNAcentral also lists the same sequence under 1 other name. Lineage: Bacteria; Bacillati; Chloroflexota.
GCCUCGCUGGCGAAAUUGGCAGACGCGCCUGAUUUAGGUUCAGGUCCUUCGGGGUUGGGGUUCGAGUCCCCGGCGAGGCACCA